GACGAACCGUGCGAACGUUGUUCGGAAUCACUGGGCUUAAAGGGCGCGUAGGCGGGCCGUCCAGUCAGGGGUGAAAUCCUCCAGCUUAACUGGAGAACAGCUUUUGAUACUGACGGCCUCGAGGGGGGUAGGGGCAUGUGGAACUUCCGGUGGAGCGGUGAAAUGCGUAGAUAUCGGAAGGAACGCCGGUGGCGAAAGCGGCUUCCUGGUCCAGCACCGACGUUCAGGCACGAAAGCGUGGGGAGCAAACAGG
Molecule: ribosomal RNA, 253 nt
Filed under: uncultured bacterium
Lineage: Bacteria
Description: partial 16S ribosomal RNA
Rfam family: Bacterial small subunit ribosomal RNA
Source: RNAcentral